GCCAGUGUGGUAUAGUGGUUUGAGUGUUGGACUAUGACUCUGGAGAUCAGAGGGUUCAAUUUCCUGUUUGGUA
This is a non-coding RNA of Phrynosoma platyrhinos (Desert horned lizard), 73 nucleotides long. Lineage: Eukaryota; Metazoa; Chordata; Lepidosauria; Squamata; Phrynosomatidae. The record is from the annotation of a GenBank genome assembly.